RNAcentral lists this ribosomal RNA (253 nucleotides) under uncultured bacterium. RNAcentral describes it as "partial 16S ribosomal RNA". It matches the Rfam family "Bacterial small subunit ribosomal RNA", at positions 524 to 776 of the family's 1533-position model. The record is from RNAcentral.
UACGUAGGUGGCAAGCGUUGUCCGGAUUUACUGGGCGUAAAGAGCGCGCAGGCGGUCGAAUAAGUCGAAUGUGAAAGCCCCCGGCUCAACUGGGGAGGGUCACGCGAUACUGAUCGACUCGAAGGCAGGAGAGGGAAGUGGAAUUCCCGGUGUUGUGGUGAAAUGCGUAGAUAUCGGGAGGAACACCAGUGGCGAAGGCGACUUCCUGGCCUGUUCUUGACGCUGAGGCGCGAAAGCUAGGGGAGCAAACGGG